ACGGAAGGCAGCAGUGGGGAAUAUUGGGCAAUGGGGGCAACCCUGACCCAGCAACGCCGCGUGAAGGAAGAAGGCCUUCGGGUUGUAAACUUCUUUUACCAGGGACGAAACAAAUGACGGUACCUGGAGAAAAAGCUACGGCUAACUACGUGCCAGCAGCCGCGGUAAUACGUAGGGGGCAAGCGUUAUCCGGAUUUACUGGGUGUAAAGGGAGCGUAGACGGCGAUGCAAGUCUGAUGUGAAAGCCCGGGGCUCAACCCCGGCACUGCAUUGGAAACUGUGUUGCUAGAGUGCAGGAGAGGUAAGUGGAAUUCCUAGUGUAGCGGUGAAAUGCGUAGAUAUUAGGAGGAACACCAGUGGCGAAGGCGGCUUACUGGACGAUAACUGACGUUGAGGCUCGAAAGCGUGGGGAGCAAACAGGAUUAGAUACCCUGGUA
Molecule: ribosomal RNA, 437 nt
Filed under: uncultured Clostridium sp.
Lineage: Bacteria; Bacillati; Bacillota; Clostridia; Eubacteriales; Clostridiaceae
Description: partial 16S ribosomal RNA
Rfam family: Bacterial small subunit ribosomal RNA
Source: RNAcentral